This 26-nucleotide non-coding RNA is filed under the name Homo sapiens (human). Lineage: Eukaryota; Metazoa; Chordata; Mammalia; Primates; Hominidae. The record is from RNAcentral.
UGCCACGUGGAUCAUGCUCAGACAUC